UUCUACGCCUGAGUGGAACCACGCCAACUGUGGUAUCGAAUACCGGCCCAAAACCAUAGGUUUUCAACCUUCCGAAAACUAUAGUUAACUUGUCUUCGUUUCCUUGUUCCUCUCUAGGCGCUGCUUCCAGUCCAGCUCUACUUCAGCUGUUUCCUUGUCUGAUUCGAUUCCCAAGCCUCAAGAUCUGAAGAAAACCUCUGGAUUCCAUUCCAGCUGGCAGCUGCUAGCUCUCCUACCUCCAAGCCUCAAGCCUAGCGAACCCUGUCCACCCUCCAACAUGUCUCACCUCCAAGCUUGGCAUCUGAACUCCACUUCUGCAGUGAGUGUGCUGUUUCCAGAGAAACCCCACCACUGUACACUGACUGUUGGAUCAAGAAGGAAAAUUAUUCAAGGCAAAUCUCCGUGUUCAUCUUCAGACCCCACUUCGACCCCUCCUUGUAAGAUCUUCCAUCCAAACUCAUGGGUGUGUUUCCAGUCCCGGUUCCAGUUCACAUUCUCCAUCUGUGAAAAUAAAACUCCUUUAACUUUU
Molecule: long non-coding RNA, 529 nt
Organism: Girardinichthys multiradiatus
Lineage: Eukaryota; Metazoa; Chordata; Actinopteri; Cyprinodontiformes; Goodeidae
Exons: 2
Source: RefSeq, a predicted model, not a curated record